CCUUCGAUAGCUCAGUUGGUAGAGCGGAGGACUGUAGAGGAGAAAAGAGGCAUCCUUAGGUCGCUGGUUCGAAUCCGGCUCGAAGGA
Molecule: transfer RNA, 87 nt
Filed under: Scleropages formosus (Asian bonytongue)
Lineage: Eukaryota; Metazoa; Chordata; Actinopteri; Osteoglossiformes; Osteoglossidae
Rfam family: tRNA
About the family: Transfer RNA (tRNA) molecules are approximately 80 nucleotides in length. Their secondary structure includes four short double-helical elements and three loops (D, anti-codon, and T loops).
Source: Rfam by way of RNAcentral